GCAAGGUUAACCGAAUAGGGGAGCCGAAGGGAAACCGAGUCUUAACUGGGCGUUAAGUUGCAGGGUAUAGACCCGAAACCCGGUGAUCUAGCCAUGGGCAGGUUGAAGGUUGGGUAACACUAACUGGAGGACCGAACCGACUAAUGUUGAAAAAUUAGCGGAUGACUUGUGGCUGGGGGUGAAAGGCCAAUCAAACCGGGAGAUAGCUGGUUCUCCCCGAAAGCUAUUUAGGUAGCGCCUCGUGAAUUCAUCUCCGGGGGUAGAGCACUGUUUCGGCAAGGGGGUCAUCCCGACUUACCAACCCGAUGCAAACUGCGAAUACCGGAGAAUGUUAUCACGGGAGACACACGGCGGGUGCUAACGUCCGUCGUGAAGAGGGAAACAACCCAGACCGCCAGCUAAGGUCCCAAAGUCAUGGUUAAGUGGGAAACGAUGUGGGAAGGCCCAGACAGCCAGGAUGUUGGCUUAGAAGCAGCCAUCAUUUAAAGAAAGCGUAAUAGCUCACUGGUCGAGUCGGCCUGCGCGGAAGAUGUAACGGGGCUAAACCAUGCACCGAAGCUGCGGCAGCGACGCUGAUGCGUUGUUGGGUAGGGGAGCGUUCUGUAAGCCUGUGAAGGUGUGCUGUGAGGCAUGCUGGAGGUAUCAGAAGUGCGAAUGCUGACAUAAGUAACGAUAAAGCGGGUGAAAAGCCCGCUCGCCGGAAGACCAAGGGUUCCUGUCCAACGUUAAUCGGGGCAGGGUGAGUCGACCCCUAAGGCGAGGCCGAAAGGCGUAGUCGAUGGGAAACAGGUUAAUAUUCCUGUACUUGGUGUUACUGCGAAGGGGGGACGGAGAAGGCUAUGUUGGCCGGGCGACGGUUGUCCCGGUUUAAGCGUGUAGGCUGGUUUUCCAGGCAAAUCCGGAAAACUAAGGCUGAGGCGUGAUGACGAGGCACUACGGUGCUGAAGCAACAAAUGCCCUGCUUCCAGGAAAAGCCUCUAAGCAUCAGGUAACAUCAAAUCGUACCCCAAACCGACACAGGUGGUCAGGUAGAGAAUACCAAGGCGCUUGAGAGAACUCGGGUGAAGGAACUAGGCAAAAUGGUGCCGUAACUUCGGGAGAAGGCACGCUGAUAUGUAGGUGAAGUCCCUCGCGGAUGGAGCUGAAAUCAGUCGAAGAUACCAGCUGGCUGCAACUGUUUAUUAAAAACACAGCACUGUGCAAACACGAAAGUGGACGUAUACGGUGUGACGCCUGCCCGGUGCCGGAAGGUUAAUUGAUGGGGUCAGCGCAAGCGAAGCUCUUGAUCGAAGCCCCGGUAAACGGCGGCCGUAACUAUAACGGUCCUAAGGUAGCGAAAUUCCUUGUCGGGUAAGUUCCGACCUGCACGAAUGGCGUAAUGAUGGCCAGGCUGUCUCCACCCGAGACUCAGUGAAAUUGAACUCGCUGUGAAGAUGCAGUGUACCCGCGGCAAGACGGAAAGACCCCGUGAACCUUUACUAUAGCUUGACACUGAACAUUGAGCCUUGAUGUGUAGGAUAGGUGGGAGGCUUUGAAGUGUGGACGCCAGUCUGCAUGGAGCCGACCUUGAAAUACCACCCUUUAAUGUUUGAUGUUCUAACGUUGACCCGUAAUCCGGGUUGCGGACAGUGUCUGGUGGGUAGUUUGACUGGGGCGGUCUCCUCCUAAAGAGUAACGGAGGAGCACGAAGGUUGGCUAAUCCUGGUCGGACAUCAGGAGGUUAGUGCAAUGGCAUAAGCCAGCUUGACUGCGAGCGUGACGGCGCGAGCAGGUGCGAAAGCAGGUCAUAGUGAUCCGGUGGUUCUGAAUGGAAGGGCCAUCGCUCAACGGAUAAAAGGUACUCCGGGGAUAACAGGCUGAUACCGCCCAAGAGUUCAUAUCGACGGCGGUGUUUGGCACCUCGAUGUCGGCUCAUCACAUCCUGGGGCUGAAGUAGGUCCCAAGGGUAUGGCUGUUCGCCAUUUAAAGUGGUACGCGAGCUGGGUUUAGAACGUCGUGAGACAGUUCGGUCCCUAUCUGCCGUGGGCGCUGGAGAACUGAGGGGGGCUGCUCCUAGUACGAGAGGACCGGAGUGGACGCAUCACUGGUGUUCGGGUUGUCAUGCCAAUGGCACUGCCCGGUAGCUAAAUGCGGAAGAGAUAAGUGCUGAAAGCAUCUAAGCACGAAACUUGCCCCGAGAUGAGUUCUCCCUGACUCCUUGAGAGUCCUGAAGGAACGUUGAAG
This 2223-nucleotide ribosomal RNA is filed under the name Escherichia coli. RNAcentral's name for it is "partial 23S ribosomal RNA". It matches the Rfam family "Bacterial large subunit ribosomal RNA", at positions 640 to 2843 of the family's 2925-position model. The record is from RNAcentral. Lineage: Bacteria; Pseudomonadati; Pseudomonadota; Gammaproteobacteria; Enterobacterales; Enterobacteriaceae.